UGCUUCCAGGAAAAGCCUCUAAGCAUCAGGUAACAUCAAAUCGUACCCCAAACCGACACAGGUGGUCAGGUAGAGAAUACCAAGGCGCUUGAGAGAACUCGGGUGAAGGAACUAGGCAAAAUGGUGCCGUAACUUCGGGAGAAGGCACGCUGAUAUGUAGGUGAAGUCCCUCGCGGAUGGAGCUGAAAUCAGUCGAAGAUACCAGCUGGCUGCAACUGUUUAUUAAAAACACAGCACUGUGCAAACACGAAAGUGGACGUAUACGGUGUGACGCCUGCCCGGUGCCGGAAGGUUAAUUGAUGGGGUCAGCGCAAGCGAAGCUCUUGAUCGAAGCCCCGGUAAACGGCGGCCGUAACUAUAACGGUCCUAAGGUAGCGAAAUUCCUUGUCGGGUAAGUUCCGACCUGCACGAAUGGCGUAAUGAUGGCCAGGCUGUCUCCACCCGAGACUCAGUGAAAUUGAACUCGCUGUGAAGAUGCAGUGUACCCGCGGCAAGACGGAAAGACCCCGUGAACCUUUACUAUAGCUUGACACUGAACAUUGAGCCUUGAUGUGUAGGAUAGGUGGGAGGCUUUGAAGUGUGGACGCCAGUCUGCAUGGAGCCGACCUUGAAAUACCACCCUUUAAUGUUUGAUGUUCUAACGUGGACCCGUGAUCCGGGUUGCGGACAGUGUCUGGUGGGUAGUUUGACUGGGGCGGUCUCCUCCUAAAGAGUAACGGAGGAGCACGAAGGUUGGCUAAUCCUGGUCGGACAUCAGGAGGUUAGUGCAAUGGCAUAAGCCAGCUUGACUGCGAGCGUGACGGCGCGAGCAGGUGCGAAAGCAGGUCAUAGUGAUCCGGUGGUUCUGAAUGGAAGGGCCAUCGCUCAACGGAUAAAAGGUACUCCGGGGAUAACAGGCUGAUACCGCCCAAGAGUUCAUAUCGACGGCGGUGUUUGGCACCUCGAUGUCGGCUCAUCACAUCCUGGGGCUGAAGUAGGUCCCAAGGGUAUGGCUGUUCGCCAUUUAAAGUGGUACGCGAGCUGGGUUUAGAACGUCGUGAGACAGUUCGGUCCCUAUCUGCCGUGGGCGCUGGAGAACUGAGGGGGGCUGCUCCUAGUACGAGAGGACCGGAGUGGACGCAUCACUGGUGUUCGGGUUGUCAUGCCAAUGGCACUGCCCGGUAGCUAAAUGCGGAAGAGAUAAGUGCUGAAAGCAUCUAAGCACGAAACUUGCCCCGAGAUGAGUUCUCCCUGACCCUUUAAGGGUCCUGAAGGAACGUUGAAGACGACGACGUUGAUAGGCCGGGUGUGUAAGCGCAGCGAUGCGUUGAGCUAACCGGUACUAAUGAACCGUGAGGCUUAACCUUACAACGCCGAAGGUGUUU
This 1364-nucleotide ribosomal RNA is filed under the name Escherichia coli. RNAcentral describes it as "partial 23S ribosomal RNA". It matches the Rfam family "Bacterial large subunit ribosomal RNA", at positions 1603 to 2925 of the family's 2925-position model. Lineage: Bacteria; Pseudomonadati; Pseudomonadota; Gammaproteobacteria; Enterobacterales; Enterobacteriaceae. The record is from RNAcentral.